UACGGAGGGUGCGAGCGUUGUCCGGAAUCACUGGGCGUAAAGGGCGCGUAGGCGGCCUGGCAAGUCGAUGGUGAAAGCCCGAGGCUCAACUUCGGGUCGGCCACUGAUACUGCUGGGCCUGAGUCGACUAGAGGCAGAUGGAAUUCCGGGUGUAGCGGUGGAAUGCGUAGAGAUCCGGAAGAACACCGGUGGCGAAGGCGGUCUGCUGGGGUCGAACUGACGCUGAGGCGCGACAGCGUGGGGAGCAAACAGG
RNAcentral lists this ribosomal RNA (253 nucleotides) under uncultured bacterium. RNAcentral describes it as "partial 16S ribosomal RNA". It matches the Rfam family "Bacterial small subunit ribosomal RNA", at positions 524 to 776 of the family's 1533-position model. The record is from RNAcentral.